CAGUCGACGAGAAACUUACUUAGCUUGCUUUGAAAGUUUCUAGUGGCGGACGGGUGAGUAACACGUGAGUUACCUGCCCCGAAGUGGGGGAUAGCCUUCCGAAAGGGAGAUUAAUACCCCAUGUGAUCGCAAGAUUAAAGGCGGCCAUCUUUGAUGGCUGUCGCUUCGGGAUGGGCUCGCGGCCUAUCAGCUAGUUGGUGAGGUAACUGCUUACCAAGGCGAUGACGGGUAGCUGGUCUGAGAGGACGACCAGUCACACUGGAACUGAGACACGGUCCAGACACCUACGGGUGGCAGCAGUCGAGAAUCAUUCGCAAUGGGCGAAAGCCUGACGGUGCGACGCCGCGUGGAGGAUGAAGGCCCUAGGGUCGUAAACUCCUGUCAUCAGGGAGUAAUGGCUCACGUAGUAACUGCCGUGAGCAGUGAUAGUACCUGAAGAGGAAGGGACGGCAAACUUCGUGCCAGCAGCCGCGGUAAUACGAAGGUCUCAAGCGUUGUUCGGAUUUACUGGGCGUAAAGCGUCUGUAGGCGGAGUGGUAAGUCAGAUGUGAAAUCCCGGGGCUCAACCCCGGAACUGCAUCCGAUACUGCCACCCUAGAGGGUCGGAGGGGAGUCUGGAAUUCUCGGUGUAGCAGUGAAAUGCGUAGAUAUCGAGAGGAACACUAGUGGCGAAGGCGAGACUCUGGACGACACCUGACGCUGAGAGACGAAGGCCAGGGUAGCGAAAAGGAUUAGAUACCCUUGUAGUCCUGGCAGUAAACGGUGCACGCUUGGUGUGGGGAGGUUCGACCCUCUCCGUGCCGGAGCUAACGCGUUAAGCGUGCCGCCUGGGGAGUACGGUCGCAAGAUUAAAACUCAAAGAAAUUGACGGGGACCCGCACAAGCGGU
This 888-nucleotide ribosomal RNA is filed under the name uncultured bacterium. RNAcentral's name for it is "bacterial SSU rRNA". It matches the Rfam family "Bacterial small subunit ribosomal RNA", at positions 59 to 933 of the family's 1533-position model. The record is from RNAcentral.